UGGUAUCAUCGCAGAGUGUGGGCUCCCACUUACCGAAUCCUCCCAGAUCCGUGGGGAGGUUGCUUGUGGGACUGGGUCAUCCACCGGAAUGUGUGGGAAAUCAAGCCUCCUGAAGGUCCUUAU
Chelonoidis abingdonii (Abingdon island giant tortoise) is the source of this 123-nucleotide non-coding RNA. The record is from RefSeq and is a predicted model, not a curated record. NCBI's taxonomy places the organism in Eukaryota, Metazoa, Chordata, Testudines, Testudinidae.